This 67-nucleotide transfer RNA is filed under the name Heliconius melpomene (postman butterfly). Its description in RNAcentral is "tRNA HMEL016545". It matches the Rfam family "tRNA". Rfam says of the family: Transfer RNA (tRNA) molecules are approximately 80 nucleotides in length. Lineage: Eukaryota; Metazoa; Arthropoda; Insecta; Lepidoptera; Nymphalidae. The record is from RNAcentral.
GCAUCGUUCAGUGGUAGAAUGCUCACCUGCCACGCGGGCGGCCCGGGUUCGAUUCCCGGUCGAUGCA